UACGGGGGGAGCAAGCGUUGUUCGGAUUUACUGGGCGUAAAGGGCGCGUAGGCGGCCACUGCAAGUCGGUUGUGAAAUCCCCGGGCUUAACCUGGGAAUGGCAUUUGGGACUGCAAGGCUUGAGUGCGGCAGAGGAGACUAGAAUUCCUGGUGUAGCAGUGAAAUGCGUAGAUAUCAGGAGGAAUACCGAUGGCGAAGGCAGGUCUCUGGGCUGACACUGACGCUCAUGCACGAAAGCGUGGGGAGCAAACAGG
RNAcentral lists this ribosomal RNA (254 nucleotides) under uncultured bacterium. Its description in RNAcentral is "partial 16S ribosomal RNA". It matches the Rfam family "Bacterial small subunit ribosomal RNA", at positions 524 to 776 of the family's 1533-position model. The record is from RNAcentral.